ACUCCUACGGGAGGCAGCAGUGGGGAAUUUUGGACAAUGGGCGAAAGCCUGAUCCAGCAAUGCCGCGUGAGUGAAGAAGGCCUUCGGGUUGUAAAGCUCUUUUGUCAGGGAAGAAACGGUGAGAGCUAAUAUCUCUUGCUAAUGACGGUACCUGAAGAAUAAGCACCGGCUAACUACGUGCCAGCAGCCGCGGUAAUACGUAGGGUGCAAGCGUUAAUCGGAAUUACUGGGCGUAAAGCGUGCGCAGGCGGUUUUGUAAGUCUGAUGUGAAAUCCCCGGGCUCAACCUGGGAAUUGCAUUGGAGACUGCAAGGCUAGAAUCUGGCAGAGGGGUGUAGAAUUCCACGUGUAGCAGUGAAAUGCGUAGAUAUGUGGAGGAACACCGAUGGCGAAGGCAACCCCCUGGGUCAAGAUUGACGCUCAUGCACGAAAGCGUGGGGAGCAAACAGGAUUAGAAACCCCAGUAGUCCC
Molecule: ribosomal RNA, 470 nt
Filed under: uncultured organism
Description: partial 16S ribosomal RNA
Rfam family: Bacterial small subunit ribosomal RNA
Source: RNAcentral